RNAcentral lists this long non-coding RNA (259 nucleotides) under Elaeis guineensis (African oil palm). Its description in RNAcentral is "long non-coding RNA (EGUI_LNC078822)". Lineage: Eukaryota; Viridiplantae; Streptophyta; Magnoliopsida; Arecales; Arecaceae. The record is from RNAcentral.
UGUCUUUCAAAAGUAUUUUUCUUACUAACAAAAAUGAAUUUACUUAGGACAAUAUUCCUUGAGUCAUGCUUGUUGUAUUUACAAGUGCUUAAUUAGACUUAGAAUCUAUAAAAUAUCAUUGUUCUGACUUUAUUUGUCAAGAAAAUACAAAAAGUGUCGUACAUAAAGAAAUUUAUUAGCACACAAACAUAGAAUGGAAAAGAUUUUAGAGUUUAUUUUGUCAUGGCCAUGUCUCUUUUUUAUUUUGUUUUUUAAGGAA